AUUUAAAUAAUUUAAAUAAAAUAUUGAUUUGUGGGAUCAAAAAUAUGACAGAGUCAUUUUAAAUU
RNAcentral lists this transfer RNA (65 nucleotides) under Parantica melaneus. Its description in RNAcentral is "tRNA-His". Lineage: Eukaryota; Metazoa; Arthropoda; Insecta; Lepidoptera; Nymphalidae. The record is from RNAcentral.